UACAGAGGUGGCAAGCGUUGUUCGGAAUUACUGGGCGUAAGGGGCGCGUAGGCGGCCUUCUAAGUCGGACGUGAAAUCCCCAGGCUUAACUUGGGAACUGCGUCCGAUACUGGAGGGCUUGAGUGCGGGAGAGGGAUGUGGAAUUCCAGGUGUAGCGGUGAAAUGCGUAGAUAUCUGGAGGAACACCGGUGGCGAAGGCGGCAUCCUGGACCGACACUGACGCUGAGGCGCGAAAGCCAGGGGAGCAAACGGG
Molecule: ribosomal RNA, 253 nt
Filed under: uncultured prokaryote
Description: partial 16S ribosomal RNA
Rfam family: Bacterial small subunit ribosomal RNA
Source: RNAcentral